AUGGGAUCCAGGCUCCUCUGCUGUGUGGCCCUUUGUCUCCUAGGAGCUGGCCUCGUGGGUUCUGGAGUCACACAAAGACCAAAACACCAGAUCAAAGCAAAGGGACAACGAGUGACACUGAGAUGCUACCCUAUGUCUGGACACCUCUAUGUGUAUUGGUACCAACAGAGCCUGGGCCAGGCCCUCCAGUUCCUCAUUCAAUUUUAUAAUGGGAAAGAGAGAGAGAAAGGAAACUUCCCUGAUCGAUUCUCUGCACAGCAGUUCCGUGACUAUCGCUCUGAACUCAACCUGAGCUCCUUGGAGUUGGAGGACUCUGCCCUGUAUUUCUGUGCCAGCAGCUCAGCACAGCCCUGUGUGAUCAUCAGCCUUCUGUGCAAUAACAUUCCUGCCCCCCCUCAGGAAGUGAGAGUGAGGGACUGUCACAAGUUCUCAGGCCCAG
Non-coding RNA from Carlito syrichta (Philippine tarsier), 439 nucleotides. The record is from the annotation of a RefSeq genome assembly. Lineage: Eukaryota; Metazoa; Chordata; Mammalia; Primates; Tarsiidae.